AUUGUGAAUAACAUGGGUUUAUGAGAUUUACAAAUCACUGCAUUCUUUUUAUUUACAUUUUACAGGGUGUCCCAACAUUUUUGGAAUUGGGGUUGUAAAACAUCAGAGCGCUUCAUGAGUGAGGUGUAACUUUGUGAUUUUUGUAAUCUAAGUAGGGUUUUGUUUGUUUGUUUGUUUGUUUGUUUGUUUGUUUGUUUUAACAGUUUCCAGUUUUUAAAAUCUGUCUUUUUGUGAGUGUGGAAGUGGCAGUGCUGGUUUGAUUAGCAGGUAUACUGAGCAGGGGGUUAGGGAUUUACUCCCCUUUCCAAAACCUUGGUUACACUGCAGAAUUAGCUGCUGAAAGAAUGCACACGGAUGGAACGGCUGUGCGUCCUGGGGGCCGGAGCUUAAGCACAGGCCGAGUGGCAGGAUUACGGAGGAAAUGAGAGGACAGAGCAGGGGACCUAAAGUCAGGUUCUGGCCCCACUGGAUUCCCAGCACUCCAGAUCUGUAACAGGAGGUCUGACUGAGAAAGAAUGGCAGGGAGCUGUGAAAGGAAAACGUGGCUCAGAAAGGUCUUGUCGGCACUUCCUCCAGCAAAUUAGCAGCUCUCUGAGGGUACAAGUACAACUUCAUUGACCUGGCCAAUUCUGGAAAAUGUCCCACGCUGUCCUCCCCCAUGGCAGCCCUUCACUGUUCUUCUGACAACAAACCCCAGUUACUUCACCAAUUAAGGAGAGAAAUCGCCAUGAAAGCCUGGUGCUGUGAGGUUAUGCACGGCAGUAACAGAGGAAUUUCUUCAUGCAGGAAUCUGUUCUCAGGAUAGACCUUUGGCCUGGAGAUGAGGAAGGCAGCAUUCACUUCAGAAGUGUGAAAUUUGUGCAUCUCUGGAGUACAGAGGGUGCAAUGGACUGUGAAUAGCAAGACAAGACAGCUCCCUGGAGCGAGAGGCUGGAGUGAGGGCCUUACAGCUGUUUUCUGGAGAUAAUUGAUUUUGGAAUAGACCAGAGAUGAGAGCGGACAGGCGGGGCUGAUGGCGCACUGCAGCGGGGUCCAAGCCAAUUUCCGCAGGCCUUGUCCCUUUAAUUACUGUGGUGCUAGAGCAUGGGAUGCGCCCACUCUCCCAUCCAGGUAAAUUAAAGCCCUUUGCUCAACCAACCCUGCUGCAUCCCCCAUCACCCAGUGGCCUGAUGAAUUUUUCAUGGAUUGGCCUCUCUCCUUCGCUGGCCUGCCGCUGUGGCUGGAGGCAGUGCUUCUGGUGCCUUUUCCCGUGCCCUCUUAGAGAUUCCCAGCUGACAGCUUAUGAGAAAAGGUUGCAUAUGCAUAGCUAGAUUGUGCUGUUGAUUAGUUUUCUUGAUCUGUUUGGAUUCUCACGACCUAAAGGAGCCAUAAUGGCCUACAGAUCUGUCAUAGACAUGAGAGCAGCUGCAUGCCCAGGUGUACCCAUCAUGCCUCCCCUUGACUCAGUGCACAAUAGGAGCAGAACAGUGCAUCUUAUGGAAAGUGACACAUGGUGUUGUGUUCUGCAGGGUUAAUCCCCCCAUGGGGGAAGAUGACAGGAUCUCUGUGGCCCUGAAUAUGUAUCAAACUGCCACAAGUCACAUUCCAACCCAGCUUCAAUCAGAAGCUUUUAUCAGGAGUCCUGCCUGCAGAGCUGUUAGGCCCUCCAUUAUAAUAUUAUAAUAGUCUAUUAAUG
Molecule: long non-coding RNA, 1675 nt
Organism: Ictalurus punctatus (channel catfish)
Lineage: Eukaryota; Metazoa; Chordata; Actinopteri; Siluriformes; Ictaluridae
Source: Ensembl